GGGAACCGGCUGGGGCGGGUCCAAAUACCCCAUGCCACGGCACAUGGAACUGGGUGUGGUUGGCCUAGGCCGGUCUUGCCCACCAUACAUUUUCAUUGGUUGAGGCUCAUUAAACCACGCUCUACACAACGUAGCCUGCGUGGUGAUAUACGUCAGCACGUACAUGUAACAGAUCAGCUAGCUAGCCACUCUAGCUUAACAUAAUAGGUUUGCAGAGUCACAUCUAACAAUACAAAACAUUGUUUUCUAAUCGAUUUUUGGGUUCAUAAUUUCUGUAGUCUGUAAAUACUUUUCAUGCAGGCUUACGGUGUUAUAGCGAUUCACUUUCCACACAUGGAAAGUGUUAGUUUACUCCGUUUCUAUGGUCACAGAUGGCUGUCGUCUUCCGUGUGUGGUGGUUCUUAUGCCACGUUCACAUACUACUUGGAACUAGGAAACUCGGAAAUGUCUGACUUGCUAACUGGUUAUAGUUUCAGUGGGGAGAACAAGUAUUUGAUACACUGCCGAUUUUGCAGGUUUUCCUAGUUACAAAGCAUGUAGAGCUCUGUAAUUCUUAUCAUAGGUACACUUCAAUUGUGAGAGACGGAUUCUAAAACAAAAAUCCAGAAAAUCACAUUGUAUGAUUUUUAAGUAUGAUUUUAAUGGAUUUUAAUCCAUGACGGCGUAGUGUGUUACUAAUGAUUUUCUUUGAGACUGUGGUCCCAGCUCUCUUCAGGUCAUUGACCAGGUCCUGCCGUGUAGUUCUGGGCUGAUCCCUCACCUUCCUCAUGAUCAUUGAUGUCCCACGAGGUCAUCCCAGCCUUGUGCAGGUCUACAGGUCUACAAUGGCCACCUACUUGUUGAUUUCAAAUAACAGACACAUCUCAACAUCAACUGUUCAGAGGAAACUGUGUGAAUCAGGCCUUCAUGGUUGAAUUGCUGCCAAGAAAUCACUACUAAAGGACACCAAUAAGGUGAAGAGACUUGUUUGGGCCAAGGAACACAAGCAGUGGACAUUAGACCGGUGUAAAUCUGUCCUUUGGUCUGGAGUCCAAACUGAAGAUUUUUGGUUCCAACCGCUGUGUCUUUGUGAGACAUGGUGUGGGUAAACGGAUGAUCUCUGCAUGUGUAUUUCCCACUGUAAAGCAUGGAGAAGGUGUUAGUGUUAUGGUGUGUGGAUGCUUUUCUGGUGACACUGUCUGUGAUUUAUUUAGAAUUCAAGGCACACUUAACCAGCAUGGCUACCACAGCACUCUGCAGCAAUACACCAUCCCAUCUGGUUUUGGCUUAGUGGGACUAAAAUGUGUUUUUCAACAGGACAAUGACCCAACACACCUCCAGGCUGUGUAAGGGCUAUUUUAUAAGAAGCAAUGUGAUGGAGUGCUGCAUCAGAUGACCUGGCCUCCACAAUCCCCCGGUCUCAACCAAAUUGAGAUGGUUUGGGAUGAGUCGGAGCGCAGAGUUAAGGAAAAGCAGCUAGCAAGUGCUCAGCAUAUGUGGGAACUCCUUCAAGACCGUUGGAAAAGCAUUUCAGUUAAAGCUGGUUGAGAGAAUGCCAAGAGUGCACAAAGCUGUCAUCAGGGCAAAGGGUGGCUAUUUAAAGAAUCUCAAAUAUAAAAUAUAUUUGGUUUAACACUUAUUUUCUACAAAGUAGCACCAGCCAUCCUCAUUGUGAAGGAACUCUACGAUGGCGUUUGUAUCAACUUCUUUGUUUUAUUAUUCUAGAUAAUUUUUUAUAAGUGGAAAUAGUAUUUUUUAAUUUGAUUUAGUGUCAUCCACGAUUAUUUUAAAUGCCUUGUGUCCACAUGUGUUU
This is a long non-coding RNA of Oncorhynchus tshawytscha (Chinook salmon), 1792 nucleotides long. NCBI's taxonomy places the organism in Eukaryota, Metazoa, Chordata, Actinopteri, Salmoniformes, Salmonidae. The record is from Ensembl.